This 475-nucleotide ribosomal RNA is filed under the name uncultured bacterium. Its description in RNAcentral is "bacterial SSU rRNA". It matches the Rfam family "Bacterial small subunit ribosomal RNA", at positions 30 to 481 of the family's 1533-position model. The record is from RNAcentral.
AGCGAACGUUAGCGGCGCGCCUAACACAUGCAAGUCGCACGAGAAACGGAGCAAUCCGCGGUACAGUGGCGCACGGGUGAGUAACACGUGGAUGACCUUCCCUGGAGUGGUGGAUAACCUGCCGAAAGGCGGGCUAAUACAGCAUAGGACCACGACGCUUUGGCGAUGUGGUGAAAGCGGGCCUCUAUAUAUAAGCUCGCGCUCCGGGACGGGUCCGCGUCCCAUCAGCUAGUUGGUGAGGUAACGGCUCACCAAGGCAACGACGGGUAGCUGGUCUGAGAGGAUGGCCAGCCACACUGGAACUGAGACACGGUCCAGACUCCUACGGGAGGCAGCAGUGGGGAAUCUUGCGCAAUGGGCGAAAGCCUGACGCAGCGACGCCGCGUGGGCGAAGAAGGCCUUCGGGUUGUAAGACCCUGUGGGGGAGGAACGAACCGUACGGGGGCGGAAGUACCUCCGUGCCUGACGGUACUCC